AGAGUUUGAUCAUGGCUCAGAGUGAACGCUGGCGGCGUGCCUAAUACAUGCAAGUCGAACGAUGAAGCUUCUAGCUUGCUAGAGGUGGAUUAGUGGCGCACGGGUGAGUAAUAUAUAGCUAACCUGCCCCUUAGAGGAGAACAACAGUUAGAAAUGACUGCUAAUACUCCAUACUCCUUCUUAACACAAGUUAAGUCGGGAAACGAAUUUUGCUAAGGGAUGGGGCUAUACUGUAUCAGUUUGUUGGUGGGGUAAUGGCCUACCAAGACUAUGACGCAUAACUGGUCUGAGAGGAUGAUCAGUCACACUGGAACUGAGACACGGUCCAGACUCCUACGGGAGGCAGCAGUAAGGAAUAUUGCGCAAUGGGCGAAAGCCUGACGCAGCAACGCCGCGUGGAGGAUGACACUUUUCGGAGCGUAAACUCCUUUUGUUAGGGAAGAACCAUGACAGUACCUAACGAAUAAGCACCGGCUAACUCCGUGCCAGCAGCCGCGGUAAUACGGGGGGUGCAAGCGUUACUCGGAAUCACUGGGCGUAAAGGGCGCGUAGGCGGACUAUCAAGUCUCUUGUGAAAUCUGGUGGCUUAACCAUCAAACUGCUUGGGAAACUGAUAGUCUAGAGUAAGGGAGAGGUAGAUGGAAUUCUUGGUGUAGGGGUAAAAUCCGUAGAGAUCAAGAGGAAUACCUAUUGCGAAAGCGAUCUACUAGAACUUAACUGACGCUGAGGCGCGAAAGCGUGGGUAGCAAACAGGAUUAGAUACCCUGGUAGUCCACGCCCUAAACGAUGUAUACUAGUUGUUGCUGUGCUAGACAUAGCAGUAAU
This 825-nucleotide ribosomal RNA is filed under the name uncultured bacterium. RNAcentral describes it as "bacterial SSU rRNA". It matches the Rfam family "Bacterial small subunit ribosomal RNA", at positions 8 to 847 of the family's 1533-position model. The record is from RNAcentral.